GGCGCUAUAGUGUAGUGGCUAUCACAACGGAUUCUGAACUUCACGUAGUCUUCCGUUAACCCAGGUUCGAACCCUGGUAGCGCCU
Non-coding RNA from Russula dissimulans, 85 nucleotides. The record is from the annotation of a GenBank genome assembly. Lineage: Eukaryota; Fungi; Basidiomycota; Agaricomycetes; Russulales; Russulaceae.